ACAAAAAGAAGAAGAAAGAGGAAAAAGGAUCUGGUAGAGAGGAUACAAAAAUUAUUAAGCCACCCCAAUCAAAAAGAAAAAAAAGGAAGAGUAGGAAAAGGUAGAUGAACAAACCCCUUCCCCAGCCGAUUUUCCAAGUUGAAAUGCCCCCCAAACGGCACACCUUCCUCCUCUCUCACUAACUCCUUGAUUUUAUCCUAAAAUCCCUCCCCUUAUCCCUCCUUGAUUUUCUCCAUCAAAUCCUUCCCAACUCCCUCAAUAACUAGCAGUAUACUAAUCCAACUCCACCACCUACCCAGCUCAUGCAGCAA
Molecule: long non-coding RNA, 311 nt
Filed under: Gossypium raimondii (Peruvian cotton)
Lineage: Eukaryota; Viridiplantae; Streptophyta; Magnoliopsida; Malvales; Malvaceae
Description: long non-coding RNA (GRAI_LNC008962)
Source: RNAcentral